AUAAGAUUUAGUGAAUCAAUAAAACAUGGAUAUAACAUGGCACUUUGCUUAUGGAGCUUUGAUAUCUACUUGGGAAAGGAGACAAGACAGAUAUGAGUUGACCAAAUGCAGGGCACUUUUCUCUUGCCUAGAUUGGGGGACACAGGCACCAUGGGGAUGAAGAUCCUGUUGCUUGGAGAAAGGACACUAAAAAGUUAAAGUGGCUCCUGCUCUGGGCUUCAUCCCCGCCUACCUCCUCAAUCCCCAGAUCUCUUUUAGUGUCCUCAGAAGGAAGACGGACACUUCGUGGCUGGGAACAAUGGUACAGAUUUCAGUAUCAUGCCACAACUGGGGGUCAGUGUUUCUUUUCCAGAACCCCUCCAGCCAAGGACUUCUGAUCUGAAGAUGCUCUGUAGCCUUCCCGCUCUACGGAGGCUGCAGGCUGGGGGCUCCCCCCACACUACACUGGGCAACUGGUUCCCGCUCCCCGGACCCUGCACCAGUAGCCACAACGGAGGGUACACCUUUUAUUGAGCAUUCCUGGCUGGAACGAGGAGGUUGCAUGUUAGCUCUGCAGAAAGGCAUUUAGUUUCACUUUCACUUCUAUUUUCAGACAGAGAAUUCCCUACAGGGGGACAUAAGACACAGCUUCUUCUAUAUUUUUCUCCCUCGUGCGCCUGUGACUGCAUAUUUACCUUUCUUCCCGGGUUCCCAGCGACCUUUUGCGCCACUAUCUGGCUCUGCAUCUUGUCAUUGCGCACGCACCUCACGGGCGCCAUCCUACUAAGGUACUAUACCAAAGCCCGGAAAACUUCUCUGGCGGCCAUUUGGGAUCCGCAUUUCUCCAGCACUGAGUUUCCAGCCUCACUGUCUCUCACAGGGAACAACAGGGCACCAUUCCUUCGUACCUUGGUGAACAGAUCACACUCUAAGGGAGAGGUGGUUCACUCCUCUGGACUCUCCUAAUAUCCCCCAAUAUCCUUACUGGGUGGCACUACAUAGUAUAGCCAUGACAGGCAGGACGGAUGACCAGUCCCUUCCCAAGCAGGUAACUGCACGUACCACCAAUGCAAUUUCGUAUUUGGCAUGUGCUACUUGCAAACCUAAAUUUGCUAGCGUUUUGGCUGAGCCAAUAUAUGAAGCCUGUAAGCCUGUAGCAGUCACUGCACAAUUACAAUCCCACACAGCCCUACCAGCCAGCUCUGCUUCGGCUAAUCAAACGAGCUCGGAUUCUGAAUUGGUGUGCUAUCUCUAGCGGGUCUACAGAACCUAGCCAGAAUACCAGAGACUCUAGAUAAGGUCCUACAGCACCUAUCUACACAGCCUCACAGACCGGUCACUCAGCAGUCGGCCACAAAGCGACCUCCCCUUUCCCCACCUGUAUCGCCUGAUGAACAGGUAGAGGCAUCAGGGGAAGAGGGACAGAUCCUAUCCGGAGAUGAAUGCCCCUAGAUCACAAAGAGAGGUUGAGAGCCUGAUUCAGGCAGUAUUACAGGCACUAUGUCUAGUAGACAACCCGCCUUCAGCAGAGCCAACCAAAAACAUUUUCAAGAGUCAAGAAGUCCUUUGGUCUUCACCCCCAGCAGUGGACCCACCAGUCUCGAUACUGUCAAAGACCACCACCAUUCCAGAACACAAUGCGACUUCCUUUAAGGAUCCUGUCGACAAACAUCUUGAGGGUUUCUGCAAGGCAAUUUCACAGCAGCAGGCGGAGCUCUCUGACCUAUUUUGCCACCGCAUGGGUAUCCAGGGCAAUGGAGGUUUGGGUGGAACAGGUGGCCCAACUCAUUAGCUCAGAAGGCCCCUCCACAGACCUCCUUCCAGCUCAGAUAGCGGACACAAACACACAUAUAUAUGCGAAGUGGCCUUGGAUGCGGUUAAACUCAAUGCAAGGACUUUGGCGCACAAUCCAUUGCAGCCAGACGUUUCCUUUGACUAAAGAAAUGGUCAACAGAUCUUACCUCAAAGUGGUCUCUCUCAGAUUUUCUCCCAUUUCUCGGAAAACAACUUUUUGGUACUGAACCAGAGAAGGUAAUUUCUCAAGCUACAGGAAGCAAGAGCACUUAACUUCCACAAAACAGACCCAAAAGGACUACCUUCAAAAGGCAACCAUUUUUUCAUCACCAAAAUCAGAGGCAAAGGUCCCAACAUGAAAAACAACAAGCUCCAACCCGCCCCAGAUUCCAGUGAAGGGAGAGCACUUCUUGGUCAGGAAGCAGAGCUGCACCUAAGCCCAUACAGGACAAACAGCCUCCAUAUGAGGAGUUGCCCACCCCCGAAAGCUCCCUUAGGCGGACGCUUAAGUCAGUUUUGGGAGGUGUGACGGCAGAGAGUACUGGACCCCUGGGUCCUACAGAUCAUAUCCCAGGGCUAUCUCAUAGAAUUCGCUCAUAUCGGAGAACCCAGGCACUCAGUGUUCCAAGGGGUUCUACAUGCCCUGACCGCCUCUGAGGUAGUACAGGCGGUCCCUCAAAGGGAAAGGGGUUUUGGUUUCUACUUAAACCUAUUUAUGUUACCAAAAAAUGACAGAUCUUUUCGCCCAGUGCUAGACCUAAAGGCACUAAAGUACAGUGUAAAGAAGCAACACUUUAAUAUGGAAUCCAUUGUCAGUUCUAAUGUCCCUGGACUUAGAGAAUUUGAUGGUGGUGAUUGACAUCAAAGAUGCACACUUGCAUCCCAACCACCACCAGUGUUCCUUCGCUUUUCAGUGGCAGGAGAACAUUGGCAAUUUGUGGCACUCCCCUUCGGACUAUCCUCCGCGCCAAGGGUAUUCACCAAGGUCAUGCAUGCGGCUCUAGAGGACCUGCGACUGGCACUGGCCGCAACUCCUCUCCAGACAGUGAUGCAAAUACUAACGCUGUUAGGCUGGCAGAUAAACUUCCAAAAAUCUUGACUCAUACCUUCUCAGAAUACAGAUUAUUUAGGGCUUGUCCUAAAUUCUUCAGUGGGAAGAGCCUUCCUUCCCCAAUCCAAGAUCACCUCAAUGCAGGGGCUCCUGUCCGUUCUGCAGAAAGAGGAUCAGGUGCCUUUACGAUUUGCCAUGAGAGUGCUGGGGACUAUGGUGUCAUCCCGCAAUUCCAUACACGCAGCUCCACACCAGAGCCUUACAGAGGAGGAACCGAGCGGACCAAAACCACAGGAUUCCCCUAUCAGAACUAGUUUGAACCUAAAUCAAUUAGUGGCUUCGACCAACAGCACUUCAGUCAGGAAAACCCUUCCUCAAUCACCAGUGGAGAGUCAUCACAACAGAUGCCAGUCUACAAGGUUGGGGAGGAGUAUUGGGAGACCUAACAGUGCAGGGAUGUUGGUCACAGAAAACAACUACUCCCCAUCAUCAUACUGGAAUUAAGAGCAAUACAACCUCUGAUUGCUCCACUGGUCAGACCGACUUCAAGAUCUACUUGUAAGAAUACAGUCAGACAAUGUAACAGUGGUGGCUUACAUCAACCACAGGAGGCACAAGAAGUCAAGCGGCCCUCCCAGAAGUGGACAAUUGGGAUAGCAGAUUUUCUCAGCCGAGAGACCUUAGAUCAGGGCGAGUGAAGCCUACACCCAGAGGUUUGAUUCUGGCAAGGUGGGGCACUCUGGAAGUAGACUUAAUGGCAUCCAGCUACAACAACAAGCUUCCGAGGUUCAUCGCAAGAAGCAAUGACCCGCUGGCCCUAGCAGUGGACACACUGGUGGUUCCGUGGCAGUUUCACCUAGCAUAUGUCUUCCCACCGCUGGUACUUCUGCCAAGGGUAAUCAAGAAAAGACAAGAAAGGGUAAAAACACUUCUAGUGACACCCUACUGGCCACACCGCACUUGGUUCGCAGAGUUUAUAAGUUAUCAGUGGACGCACCAUUCCACUCUAGACAGAAGGGAUCUGUUAUCUCAGGGACUGAUCUUCCACCCAAGUUGACCAUGGCUGGCUUUAACGGCAUGGCAUUUAAAGCCCUAAUCCUAGCCAGAUCAGGAGUUCCAA
Molecule: long non-coding RNA, 3944 nt
Organism: Xenopus laevis (African clawed frog)
Lineage: Eukaryota; Metazoa; Chordata; Amphibia; Anura; Pipidae
Exons: 2
Source: RefSeq, a predicted model, not a curated record